GGGAAAGGAAACACAGAUUUGAAAUAGAGCAAGAGGAAGGGAGACAGCAAAGCUAGGAAACAUCUAAAAGUUUGCACCAUAAAGAGAGGAAAACUGGCUUGUCUUUAGUGACUUUAGGGCAACCAUGUUGAUGAAUGGAAUUGGCCUUAGGAUGAAGAUGACCUAGGAGCCAUUUUCGGCUUCUCUGGCUCACAGUGAGUGUGGCAGAGCAUCUCAUGGAGCUGUGCACUGUGCGGAGACCAGAUGAACCCAGGAAGAGGGUGGUGAGUCAGGAUCGUGGAGUUCCUGGUUCACACAGACAGCUGCACAGCCUGGAGGGUGUAGGAAGCCAAGAAAGCCCCGUCUGGAGUCAAUGAAUGACGUGACAGCAAAACUCACACAAAGAAGGAGGUGUUGCUUCUGUGGCUAGGACUUACGACCUUCUCUGUGUAAAAAUAGUUAUGGGUUCCUCCAUUUGUUUGUUGUUUAACUGAGUGCUCAGCUAAUGAUAAAAAUAAGAUUGAUACUUUUAGAGCAAUGGGAGGUCCUAGACCAGGGGAUUUUAACCAUUUGUUUGCCAAGAAUUCUUUUGAGAAGUUGAAGAAAGGAGCUAUGAAUAAUUUAUGAAGAUGUGUCCUAUGCCUGGGAAAAACCUCUAUCAGGUUAAAAGGUUCUGGAGCCUUCUUUCUCUCCUAUGGUUCCAUGAUUCGUGUCUGCAAUUCAUUAUUUCUGUGUUGUGCUUUUUCAAAAUCAGGGCAGUCAUUGGUGUGGUUCUUGAACAACUUCUUAAAACUCUAAACAUUCAUGUAAGGUCUCCAGAUGCAUUUUGGCAGAAAUAUCAAUGGCCAAGAAUCAAGCCAAACUUCCUGGAAGUUUUAGCAAAUUUUUUUUUGCAUAAAUAAACAAAACAUCUUGAAUAACAUAGUUUAUAAGUUCCAAAAUACACAUUUUCCUAAUAAAAUGAAGACUGCACAAAUAAGGUUUUAAUAUAUACUAGAAUUAAGUCAACUCUUUCCAUGUUAAACCUGGGCCCUCCUAAGUCACCAGUUGUCAGUAAAAUAAUCACACAGAUUCUUAAUUAUAUGGCCAGUAUCGAAAGCUCAUAGGACUAUUCUAAUGUAUUUGAAUCAAUAUGUAUUACUUGCUUUACUAAACCUAGACCAACAGAAAGACAUUUAUGAAGGAUUCCAUGUUAUAUGAAAUUCUCCUAUGCAAUCAUGCAUUCACUUAUUACUAUAUUUUCCUAAAAAAGAAAAGAAAGCAGGCCACAAAAUUCAUUAAAAUGAUUAACAUUUCUCAGAAUUCAGCCAAGGGUGAUAUAAAUAAGGAAGGAAUAAUUUUCAAACCUUGGCCUUUAACCUCAAAAUAGAUUGGGAGAUCUAUAAAAUCUGAAGCCUAUGUAUGAUUCUGAUUAUUCCUUUUUUCUAGAGUAGACAUUUUAAAGUAUUAGCUUUUAAAUCAUCCAUUCCACUUUUUAAAAACUCAGUUUAGCAUGUCCUUAUAAAGCAAAGGAAAUAUUUCAGAAUAUUUUAGCCUGCUUUCAACAAGAUCUGAUUUAGAUAGGUACUCUAAGAGCAGGAGAGGAAGAAAAAAAAGAAAAGCAUUCUAAGAUAUAUAACUGACUUCUCCCACAACUUUAAAUAUGGAGAAAAUUGAACAUCUCCUCCAAUUUUCUAUCUCCGUGUCUCUUCCGUGCUGCACUGAAGGCUUUAUAAACACAAGGCUGGAGUGUGGUCAGCCAAGGUUUCAAAUGGCAGGGUAUUUCUUACUCUGUUUUUUGUUGGGACUUUGAGCUUAUCUCUAUUGCUUAUCCCAAAUCAAGCUCCUGUUGCCCCAACAGCUACUCCACUUUGGGAACUGAGGAUAGCAAUAACACUCUGUUGACCGGAGAGAGACCAGGACCAGAGGGGUGGUGGCGUGGGAAUGGGAGAGAGGCUAAAAUGCAGAAAGCAGGCCGAAUGACAGAGGAUGGGGGGAGGCAACAGACAUCCUGUCCCAGAGAACUUUGGGGACUGCCCUAUGAACUCAGGGUUCAGUGGGAAACUGUAUAUUUAGCCACUGUUCCCACAUAAGGGUGUAAAAAUUGAAUCAUAAUAAAUGGCUACUUCUUAAUAAAGCUAUUUUAUUAAAAUGUCUUACAUAGUAAUACCUCCUUAAUCAUUUAAAUUGCCCAGAACUAGAGGUGCAGACACGCAGGUUUGGAAAACUUAACUCUAGCUAUCAGAUGGAAACAAGAAGAUAUAUUCUGCCAUCUGUAAUUCGUAGGGGAAAACGAGCUGAUCCAAAGAAAAACCUAUCUACACAACUUGACUGGAAUCUAAGAAGUAAGCCUGUGAUGUUUAUCUAGUCAUGGCCCUAACAUUUCACAAUUACAUAGUGAACAUGGUGAUAUGUCCUUAGGAUAUUCUUAACUCUCUCUUCCUCCAUCUCCACAUCCACUUGGUCACCAAGAUUUAUCCAGCUGAAAUGACUCUUGAGUAAUGCCCCUCUUCCACCAUCCAAGUCGCUGCUUUACCUCUUCCAGAUGGUCUACACAAGGCUACCCAGGGCAGCAUUCCAACAAGCACGUGGCGAAUCCACUCUCUUUUGCACACAGGACAAAGCCCAGCUCCUUGGCACGGUCUGCAGGGCCCUGUGCAGUCGGG
Molecule: long non-coding RNA, 2624 nt
Organism: Zalophus californianus (California sea lion)
Lineage: Eukaryota; Metazoa; Chordata; Mammalia; Carnivora; Otariidae
Exons: 3
Source: RefSeq, a predicted model, not a curated record